UGUGUUGUGGCUCAAUGGUAGAGUGCUUGCCUGGCACGUGUGAGGCACUGGGUUCAGUCCUCAGCACCAUAU
Molecule: transfer RNA, 72 nt
Filed under: Marmota marmota marmota (Alpine marmot)
Lineage: Eukaryota; Metazoa; Chordata; Mammalia; Rodentia; Sciuridae
Also listed under: 1 other name
Rfam family: tRNA
About the family: Transfer RNA (tRNA) molecules are approximately 80 nucleotides in length. Their secondary structure includes four short double-helical elements and three loops (D, anti-codon, and T loops).
Source: Rfam by way of RNAcentral